GUGCUUGUUUCAGCAGCACAUAUACUAAAAUUGGAACGACACAGACGAUUAGCAUGGUCCCUGCGCAAGGAUGACACACAGAUUUAUGAAGUGUUCCAUAUUGGG
Molecule: small nuclear RNA, 105 nt
Organism: Phacochoerus africanus (Common warthog)
Lineage: Eukaryota; Metazoa; Chordata; Mammalia; Artiodactyla; Suidae
Source: RefSeq, a predicted model, not a curated record